Molecule: non-coding RNA, 253 nt
Filed under: uncultured bacterium
Lineage: Bacteria
Also listed under: 1 other name
Description: partial 16S ribosomal RNA
Rfam family: Bacterial small subunit ribosomal RNA
Source: RNAcentral
UACGUAGGGUGCGAGCGUUAAUCGGAAUUACUGGGCGUAAAGCGUGCGCAGGCGGUUUCUUAAGCAAGAUGUGAAAUCCCCGGGCUUAACCUGGGAACUGCAUUUUGAACUGGGAGACUAGAGUGCGUCAGAGGGGGGUGGAAUUCCACGUGUAGCAGUGAAAUGCGUAGAGAUGUGGAGGAACACCGAUGGCGAAGGCAGCCCCCUGGGAUGACACUGACGCUCAUGCACGAAAGCGUGGGGAGCAAACAGG